CUACGGGCCGCUCCAGGCGAGAAAACUUUGCAAUGUGCGAAAGCACGACAAGGUUAAUCCGAGUGGUUUGUGCUAAACGAACCUUUUGACAGUCCUAGAAACACUGUUGAAUAAGGGAUGGGCAAGUUCUGGUGUCAGCCGCCGCGGUAAAACCAGCACCUCAAGUGGUCAGGAUGAUUAUUGGGCCUAAAGCAUCCGUAGCCGGCUCUGUAAGUUUUCGGUUAAAUCUGUACGCUCAACGUACAGGCUGCCGGGAAUACUGCAGAGCUAGGGAGUGGGAGAGGUAGACGGUACUCGGUAGGAAGGGGUAAAAUCCUUUGAUCUAUUGAUGACCACCUGUGGCGAAGGCGGUCUACCAGAACACGUCCGACGGUGAGGGAUGAAAGCUGGGGGAGCAAACCGGAUUAGAUACCCGUAUAGUC
RNAcentral lists this ribosomal RNA (422 nucleotides) under uncultured archaeon. Its description in RNAcentral is "partial 16S ribosomal RNA". It matches the Rfam family "Archaeal small subunit ribosomal RNA", at positions 323 to 746 of the family's 1478-position model. The record is from RNAcentral.